This is a long non-coding RNA of Zingiber officinale, 1235 nucleotides long. RefSeq lists it as uncharacterized. The record is from RefSeq and is a predicted model, not a curated record. The transcript is spliced from 4 exons. Lineage: Eukaryota; Viridiplantae; Streptophyta; Magnoliopsida; Zingiberales; Zingiberaceae.
CUUUGUUCAAGGCACGCACGGAUGAGGGUUACGAUUCCUUUGUGUGUCUCCACUGAACAAGCUAAUCCUAAUCGUCUUCUCCGGCCUUCUUCUCUGUCAUGCAAUCCGCAACACCCAUUGUGUCCUAAUCGCACCACGUCGGCCGUUCGAGGGACCUAAUCAGGCGAUGGCUUCACACGCGAUGUCGGCUGCUCGUGCGGCCUAAUCGCGCGAUGGCUGCCACCUUGCCGCUUUCACAGCCACUGCCUUAUCUACAUAAUGUUGAAGGGAAACAGCCUCUACAACUUGAGUAGCGUCUAGAGUGCUAGGAAGAUCUUUGUAAUACACAAUUAACCAAGAUGAGUCACUUCGUGCUACUAAUAGAGAACUGAGAGAACUUCCUUCCAUUUCAUUAUCCAGUCUUCCUAUAAUUUUGAAGCACCUUCUCAAGAGUUGUUUACAAAUUUGACGUCCUUUCUCUACCAUUAGUAUGUGUUUCCUCAAGAAGUUUGGAUCUGGAUCCUCAACUGGUACUUUCAAUUUGCAUCCUCCUUAAUGUUUUCAGACCCUAUGACUCAUCACAUUGAAUGGUAAGAAUUAUGCUUAAUUGUCUUUUUUAACCUAAGUAUGGUAAGAAUUUUGCUUCUUUAGCUUCUUUGGUCAAAGUGUGGUCUACGAGUUAAAGAUAACUGGAGCACUCAACAACUAAGGUUAUGUAAAUGCAUUAACUAGAUAGAGUCACAUUGGUAGAGGAUUGAUGGGCUUAUUACCAAGCGGGGUUCAAUUUCUUUUGGAGCACACUGUGAGUUUGAAACUGAUAAACCUCCUUUUUCUAGGGGAAUAAGUUACACAUCUCCUAAAUUUAUUAAAAUUUUAUAGUUAGAUUUAAAUUCAAUGCAUCUCAUUUGUUCUAUUUUAUAUUGACAUAUGUUAUGUAUGAUUAUAGAAAAAAGAUUUCGGAUGAGAAGGGAAUGAAUUUGAGGUUUUUAAAUGAAUGCAUAAAUGGAAAUAAGGUACCGGAGAGUUUGUGGACAACAAAUCGAAUUGAGUUAGUGUGUCUUAAAGAGUACUGGGAAGAACGCCGAAAAGCCAAAAAAAUGGAGAGACUUUAAAAAGUUAAGACCACUAGGAGCUGCAAUGCCGUCUCUUCACCAACAUCUAAGUAAAAAAUUUUGUGUUACGUUGCUCUACCUUUGUUUUAAUAAUGUUGUUAGUGUUGGAACCCCAAGGCUGUUUUGAUGUGAUCAACAAGUUAA